RNAcentral lists this ribosomal RNA (798 nucleotides) under uncultured soil archaeon. RNAcentral's name for it is "bacterial SSU rRNA". It matches the Rfam family "Archaeal small subunit ribosomal RNA", at positions 77 to 864 of the family's 1478-position model. The record is from RNAcentral.
CGCGUAGCACAGCUCAGUAACACGUGGCUAACCUGCCUGGGACGGAAACACCCCGGGAAACUGGGGCUAAUUUCCGAUAGGUGAAGACUCCUGGAAUGGAUUUUUGCCGAAAGGGCGCUUAGGGCAUGCUUCUAGGCGUUGCUCAAGGAUGGGGCCGCGGCCGAUCAGGUUGUUGGUGAGGUAAUGGCUCACCAAGCCUUUAACCGGUACGGGCCGUGGGAGCGGUAGCCCGGAGAUGGGCACUGAGACAAGGGCCCAGGCCCUACGGGGCGCAGCAGUCGCGAAAACUUCGCAAUAAGCGAAAGCUUGACGGGGCCAUCCCGAGUGCCAUCUGCUGAGGAUGGCUUUUACCCAGUAUAGAUAGCUGGGGGAAUAAGGAGAGGGCAAGUCUGGUGUCAGCCGCCGCGGUAAUACCAGCUCUCCGAGUUGUGGGGAUGUUUAUUGGGCCUGAAGCAUCCGUAGCCGGCUGGACAAGUCCUCUGUUAAAUCCAGCGACUAAUCGUUGGUCUGCGGAGGAUACUGUCCGGCUAGGGGGCGGGAGAGGCCGUCGGUAUUCUUGGGGUAGGGGUGAAAUCCUAUAAUCCCAGGAGGACCACCAGUGGCGAAGGCUGUCGGCUAGAACGCGCCCGACGGUGAGGGAUGAAAGCUGGGGGAGCGAACCGGAUUAGAUACCCGGGUAGUCCCAGCUGUAAACGAUGCAGGCUAGGUGUUAGGGCGGCUACGUGCCGCUCUAGUGCCGCAGGGAAGCUGUUAAGCCUGCCGCCUGGGGAUUACGACCGGCAGGCUGACUUAAAGGCA